Molecule: ribosomal RNA, 901 nt
Filed under: Ramularia deusta var. alba
Lineage: Eukaryota; Fungi; Ascomycota; Dothideomycetes; Mycosphaerellales; Mycosphaerellaceae
Description: LSU rRNA
Rfam family: Eukaryotic large subunit ribosomal RNA
Source: RNAcentral
AAGCAUAUCAAUAAGCGGAGGAAAAGAAACCAACAGGGAUUGCCCUAGUAACGGCGAGUGAAGCGGCAACAGCUCAAAUUUGAAAUCUGGCGCAAGCCCGAGUUGUAAUUUGUAGAGGAUGCUUCUAGGUAGCGACCGGUCUAAGUUCCUUGGAACAGGACGUCAUAGAGGGUGAGAAUCCCGUAUGUGACCGGCCCGCACCUUCUACGUAGCUCCUUCGACGAGUCGAGUUGUUUGGGAAUGCAGCUCUAAAUGGGAGGUAAAUUUCUUCUAAAGCUAAAUACCGGCCAGAGACCGAUAGCGCACAAGUAGAGUGAUCGAAAGAUGAAAAGCACUUUGGAAAGAGAGUUAAAAAGCACGUGAAAUUGUUGAAAGGGAAGCGCUCACAACCAGACUUCUGGGCGGUGUUCCGCCGGUCUUCUGACCGGUCUACUCGCCGUCCCGAGGCCAACAUCAUCUGGGACCGCUGGAUAAGACCUCAGGAAUGUAGCUUCCCUCGGGAAGUGUUAUAGCCUGUGGUGAUGCAGCGCGUCUCGGGUGAGGUCCGCGCUUCGGCAAGGAUGUUGGCGUAAUGGUUGUCAGCGGCCCGUCUUGAAACACGGACCAAGGAGUCUAACAUCUAUGCGAGUGUUCGGGUGUCAAACCCCUACGCGUAAUGAAAGUGAACGGAGGUGGGAAGCGCAAGCUGCACCAUCGACCGAUCCUGAUGUCCUCGGAUGGAUUUGAGUAAGAGCAUAGCUGUUGGGACCCGAAAGAUGGUGAACUAUGCCUGAAUAGGGUGAAGCCAGAGGAAACUCUGGUGGAGGCUCGCAGCGGUUCUGACGUGCAAAUCGAUCGUCAAAUUUGGGUAUAGGGGCGAAAGACUAAUCGAACCAUCUAGUAGCUGGUUCCUGCCGAAGUU